CGUCCAGCCAGGCCAGGUCGUGUUGAGAGAACAUCAGGUCCAUCAUCUUACGCACCACCAUCAGACCCAGGAUCUACACAUCGAAAAAAGUUGUCGCUGGUAUUGAAUUUCCACGACACUACCCCUCCAAAACAGACACACACACAGAGCGAUCACCAUGACAGGGAAGAUGAUGGCAGCUACGGUAGACUUGAGGGUCCAGAGGACAGCCAGACAGAUAAUCUGGACCAGGGUGAAGAGAUGGACUCUCCUCAGAGGAACGUGACGCAGGAAGGAGAAGUCUGGCUGGUGCUUGGCUGGCAUCAGGUACAGCUUGAUACGUUCCCAGAACUAGGAGGGAGAGAGGAGGUGGGAACUGGGGCUGCUCUCCUGGGGCGCUGGACUCACUCUCCAUCUUCAGAGAGUCGAUGUGGGCGAUGGAGAUGACAGUAGCAGCCACGUACCAGGGCAGGCCCAGGAAGGAACACACUGCCAUCAGAAUACCCACCCAGAACAGGUCCAGAUGACAGCUCAGAACAGAGUGUGAUGGAGAGGAUUCGCCGAGGGCCUACGCUCCCUAAGUAAGUAGGUGUGUUCAUGGUUGCAGUUGUGUUGUGUUGUCAUUGCGGCCAUACUGUACCUUGAGU
Molecule: long non-coding RNA, 626 nt
Organism: Salvelinus fontinalis (brook trout)
Lineage: Eukaryota; Metazoa; Chordata; Actinopteri; Salmoniformes; Salmonidae
Exons: 4
Source: RefSeq, a predicted model, not a curated record